GUUCCUUCGACAUGGUUCUCUCGACGCGCCCUAGUAUACUCUACCUGUUCACCUGUGUCAGUUUGGGGUACGGUCAGUUCACCGGGAGGAUCGCCCUCCCAAUUCGAAGUUUUUUCCUGGAAGUUUCAACCGUCGUUGACUAUGACAACAGUCGUGACCGACUAUUAAGAUCCUCGCGACUAUGGCAGGGCGGUACGCUCUGCUCUCUCACGACCUCCACUCUAAUCAAAAGACUAAAGGCCCCUACGGAAGAUGAAAAAGGCGAGGACUGAAAUGAGAAAGGAAGGAGUUCGGUAAGACGACUUCGAUUCACACGUGAAAGUGCUUCGAAAGGUGUCAGCAGGUGCGCGGAGCCGGAGCCGGCAUGAGAUUGGAAGAGC
Triticum dicoccoides is the source of this 380-nucleotide long non-coding RNA. RefSeq lists it as uncharacterized. The transcript is spliced from 4 exons. Lineage: Eukaryota; Viridiplantae; Streptophyta; Magnoliopsida; Poales; Poaceae. The record is from RefSeq and is a predicted model, not a curated record.